This is a non-coding RNA of Odocoileus virginianus texanus, 935 nucleotides long. The record is from RefSeq and is a predicted model, not a curated record. Lineage: Eukaryota; Metazoa; Chordata; Mammalia; Artiodactyla; Cervidae.
UCUAGUCUCUCCACCAUGGCCAUGUGUUACUAAUUCUGAAGAUACGAGCAAAACAGUAAACAUCAUAUAGGAAAGAGCAUGGACUUUGGAGUCUGACAGCCAGUUCUGCCAUGAGUUACCUAGGGUGUCCUUGGACACUGCUGUAAUCUCGAGGAACCUAGCCCUUCCUGUCUGUAAAAUGAGGAAGCGGGAAAGAUAACUGUUAGGGUAAUUCUGAAAUUUCCAAAACAAAAUAUAUGGAUACACUAGUACAAGCCUCUAAAGGGCUCUCCCACAACUUAUGGGGAGUAUUCUCCAGGGCAAAUUUUUACUGUGGUUCUAUAGAGCCUCACUUUCUUCUUCCUACUUCCUCUUUACAAAGCCAGAAGGGGUCAACAAUCUCUAUCUUCAGCAAAGGAGAGAAGGAAUAAAAAAGAGUCAUGACACUAAGGGUUAGGCUCCUGGAUUAAUUAAUAUGAAAGAAUAAAAGAGGAAAAAAAAAGAAUUUCCGUAAGUCAGGUGAAGAAACAAAGAAACUUGCCACACUGGAUUUCUACCUAAGUUUAAGAGUGAAAUGGGAGCACUAUACAGGCAUACCUCUACGUCUCUGUGCUUCACAGUGGUCUGGAAUUGGAGCCCCAAUAUCUCCAAGGUCUGCCAGUGUGAGGCGUAAGAGGCAACCCUGUGAACUGGAAGAGUACCUAGAGAAAAUGACGCCAGAGUGCUCAGAGAGGCCUCAGAGUCUCUGUGAAAACAGACAUGGCAGACCAAGAACUGGAAACAACACCACAGAUAUUCACAUCUACAAACGCUCAGCCUUAGAAAUAGCAAGGUGUCUGAUCACCAUGGGAGACCCGACAUCCCCAAGUCUAUUGAGAUGUUAUUGACACACAGCCCUGUGUAAGUUUCAGGUGUACGGCAUAAUGGUAUGACUGACAUACAUCGGGAAGCAGUUA